Oncorhynchus tshawytscha (Chinook salmon) is the source of this 374-nucleotide long non-coding RNA. The record is from Ensembl. NCBI's taxonomy places the organism in Eukaryota, Metazoa, Chordata, Actinopteri, Salmoniformes, Salmonidae.
UGUUCCUAGGCCAGUUAACCCACUGUUCCUAGACCAGUUAACCCACUGUUCCUAGGCCAGUUAACCCACUGUUCCUAGGCCAGUUAACCCACUGUUCCUAGACCAGUUAACCCACUGUUCCUAGACCAGUUAACCCACUGUUCCUGGACCAGUUAACCCACUGUUCCUAGGCCAGUUAACCCACUGUUCCUAGGCCAGUUAACCCACUGUUCCUAGACCAGUUAACCCACUGUUCCUAGACCAGUUAACCCACUGUUCCCAGACCAGUUAACCCACUGUUCCUAGACCAGUUAACCCACUGUUCCUAGACCAGUUAACCCACUGUUCCUAGGCCAGUUAACCCACUGUUCCUAGACCAGUUAACCCACUGUUCC